GUGGGGAAUAUUGCACAAUGGGCGCAAGCCUGAUGCAGCAACGCCGCGUGAGCGAUGAAGGUCUUCGGAUCGUAAAGCUCUGUCGCAUGGGAAGAUAAUGACGGUACCAUGUGAGGAAGCACCGGCUAACUACGUGCCAGCAGCCGCGGUAAUACGUAGGGUGCUAGCGUUAUCCGGAAUUACUGGGCGUAAAGGGUGCGUAGGUGGUCUAGUAAGUCAGGGGUUAAAUUUCACGGCUCAACCGUGUCCAGCCUCUGAAACUACAUGACUUGAGUGCAGGAGAGGAAAGCGGAAUUCCCAGUGUAGCGGUGAAAUGCGUAGAUAUUGGGAGGAACACCGGUAGCGAAGGCGGCUUUCUGGACUGUAACUGACACUGAGGCACGAAAGCGUGGGUAGCAAACAGGA
RNAcentral lists this ribosomal RNA (405 nucleotides) under uncultured bacterium. RNAcentral describes it as "bacterial SSU rRNA". It matches the Rfam family "Bacterial small subunit ribosomal RNA", at positions 354 to 777 of the family's 1533-position model. The record is from RNAcentral.